Molecule: ribosomal RNA, 439 nt
Filed under: uncultured bacterium
Lineage: Bacteria
Description: partial 16S ribosomal RNA
Rfam family: Bacterial small subunit ribosomal RNA
Source: RNAcentral
CUACGGGAGGCACCAGUGGGGAAUAUUGCACAAUGGAGGGAACUCUGAUGCAGCAACGCCGCGUGGAGGAUGACGCAUUUCGGUGUGUAAACUCCUUUUAUAUAGGAAGAUAAUGACGGUACUAUAUGAAUAAGCACCGGCUAACUCCGUGCCAGCAGCCGCGGUAAUACGGAGGGUGCAAGCGUUACUCGGAAUCACUGGGCGUAAGGCGCAUGCAGGCGGUUAAAUAAGUUGGAAGUGAAAUCCUAUGGCUCAACCAUAGAACUGCUUCCAAAACUGUUUAACUAGAGUCUGGGAGGGGAAGAUGGAAUUAGUAGUGUAGGGGUAAAAUCCGUAGAGAUUACUAGGAAUACCAAAAGCGAAGGCGAUCUUCUGGAACAGUACUGACGCUGAGAUGCGAAAGCGUGGGGAGCAAACAGGAUUAGAUACCCCUGUAGUC